Molecule: ribosomal RNA, 419 nt
Filed under: uncultured eukaryote
Lineage: Eukaryota
Description: bacterial SSU rRNA
Rfam family: Eukaryotic small subunit ribosomal RNA
Source: RNAcentral
CAAUAGCGUAUAUUAAAGUUGUUGCGGUUAAAAGCUCGUAGUUGGAUUUCUGCCGUAGACGAUCGGUCCGCUCUUUGAGCGUGUAUCUGAUUCGGCUAUGGCAUCCUCGUGAGUUGCGUUGCUGUGCUUGAUUGCAUGGUGCGAAGUUCACGACUUUUACUUUGAAAAAUUAGAGUGUUCAAAGCAGGCUAUUGCUUGAAUACAUGAGCAUGGAAUAAUGGAAUAGGACUUUGGUCCCAUUUUGUUGGUUUCUAGGGCCGAAGUAAUGAUUAAGAGGGACAAUUGGGGGCAUCCGUAUUUCGUUGUCAGAGGUGAAAUUCUUGGAUUUACGAAAGACGAACAACUGCGAAAGCACUUGCCAAGAGUGUUUUCAUUAAUCAAGAACGAAAGUUAGAGGAUCGAAGAUGAUUAGAUACCAU